CAGCAGCCACGGUAAUACGUAGGUCCCGAGCGUUGUCCGGAUUUAUUGGGCGUAAAGGGAGCGCAGGCGGUUUAGUAAGUCUGAAGUUAAAGGCAUUGGCUCAACCAAUGUAUGCUUUGGAAACUGUUAGACUUGAGUGCAGAAGGGGAGAGUGGAAUUCCAUGUGUAGCGGUGAAAUGCGUAGAUAUAUGGAGGAACACCGGUGGCGAAAGCGGCUCUCUGGUCUGUCACUGACGCUGAGGCUCGAAAGCGUGGGUAGCGAACAGGAUUAGAUACCCGCGUAGUCCCUGUCUCUUAUACA
This 301-nucleotide ribosomal RNA is filed under the name uncultured bacterium. RNAcentral's name for it is "partial 16S ribosomal RNA". It matches the Rfam family "Bacterial small subunit ribosomal RNA", at positions 509 to 808 of the family's 1533-position model. The record is from RNAcentral.